AACUUAAGGGUCGGGGGGGAAGUGGCGUGUGCGGAGAGGAGGCGUGGAGAGUGUGAGGAAGAAGAGAGGCACUCUGAGAGGAAGUCGAACAACUAACCCCUCAUUUGGCCUGGUUUGGGUGAGAAGAUUGAGUCACUUGGGGAAAAAAAUAUUGGAGAGAAGGUAUAAUACUAUCAGUGGUGCCACAAACACCAGUUUACUUCCACUUUUCACCCCCCGGGUCUGUUUUGUCUGCGUGCAGCUGUCCUCGUGUUGGAGACGCUGAGUCAGUUCUCUACUGGUCUUGCCGUCUUCCGGAAAAAGAAAACAUACCUGAGAAGUGGUAGUUCCUAUCCUAACCUCUUGGGGCCCUUUAGACCAGGUGCCAAACUUCAUUAUCCACCCCACCACCUUGCCCAGGAGGGAGAUCUGUGAAAGCGAAACGUGAUUUAACCUGGGAUCUGGCAGCAACUUCGUGGACUCUGAAGGGCACGCGGGAAAGGUGUUUUGAUUGAAGGUGAGGGAUUUAGUGAGGUAAAAUUAUAUCCAAAUUAGAGUUUGGUAAAGGCUUCCAGGUUAAUGUCCUGUUAACGCUUAUCCUGAUUUGUGGAGGACACUUAAGCUGUCUAGGCCUAACCUUGCGUUUGAUCACUCACCUUAAUUUGUAGACAUUCUAGGAGCUCUUUGUCAAUGCUUCUUACCAUUUUUAUCAUUAACUAUUUAUGCUUAUGGAAGCAGGAAAAAUAAAUUGUGGGAGACUUCAUCUGCAA
This 749-nucleotide long non-coding RNA is filed under the name Pongo abelii (Sumatran orangutan). RNAcentral's name for it is "lincRNA". The record is from RNAcentral. Lineage: Eukaryota; Metazoa; Chordata; Mammalia; Primates; Hominidae.